Molecule: long non-coding RNA, 547 nt
Organism: Athalia rosae (coleseed sawfly)
Lineage: Eukaryota; Metazoa; Arthropoda; Insecta; Hymenoptera; Athaliidae
Exons: 2
Source: RefSeq, a predicted model, not a curated record
UCCUAUAAAUUUUGCAAUAACUUUAUUUCACAUACUCAACGAGAAGAGAAGAUGUAAUUAUGUAUCUAUUACAUGUCUCGAUACGAUUUCGAGGAUGAGCGUCAGCAACGCUGCGAAAGAGAAUAAAAUUAAAUGAAACGAUGGAUAAAACAUCGGCCAACAAAGAUUCAUCGGGUUUGCUGGAAUAAAUUAGGAGGCGCAACUGUAAACUACACUCUACUUUAAAAUAGCUCUGAAAAAUUUGUCUCGACGUCCAAUCCAGUAUACAUACCUACUUUGUAUAGUAUAUCAUACAUCCGUACGAAAAACUAUUCCAGUCAAACACCGAGGAAAACUAGGCCGACAACGCUUUGGACAAACGUAGCGAAAACUGAUGCAUGGUAACAUGAAAAACAAUUAUUUGUGGAAUAAUAAUUUUAAGAUGUGAAUAUAUAUAUAUAUAUAUAAAACUCAACUGUGAUUUCGUUAAUCGUUUUUUCAUUUUUAAAUUAUGUAACAAGGAAUUAAUAAGUUGACAAUAAACGUCGCCGUCCAUUGGCCAUGAUAA